CUUUAGGAAGUUAAUAUAAAGUCGGACCUGCUCACUGAAUAAUUAAAGAGCCGCGGUAUUUUGACCGUGCAAAGGUAGCAUAAUCAAUAGUCUUUUAAUUGAGGACUGGAAUGAAUGGUUUGACGAAAUAAUAACUGUCUUAAUUUAAAUUAUUGAAAUUUAUUUUUAAGUUAAAAAGCUUAAAUAUAUGAGUGGGACGAGAAGACCCUAUAGAUUUUAAUAAAUUAAUUUUUAAUAUUAGGUAAUAAUUUAUAAAUUAUUUUAUUUGAUUGGGGUGAUGGAAGAAUAAAAAAACUUCUUUUUAAAAAAACAAAAAUAAAUGGUUUAAUGAUCUUUUUUUAGGAAUAAUAAGAUUAAAAUACCUUAGGGAUAACAGCGUAAUUUUGUUUGAGAGUUCAAAUCGAUAAUGGAGAUUGCGACCUCGAUGUUGGAUUAAGAAUAUUUUUUGGUGCAGUAAUUAAAAUAAUAAGUCUGUUC
Molecule: ribosomal RNA, 477 nt
Filed under: Anaxipha sp. GDE
Lineage: Eukaryota; Metazoa; Arthropoda; Insecta; Orthoptera; Trigonidiidae
Description: partial 16S ribosomal RNA
Rfam family: Bacterial large subunit ribosomal RNA
Source: RNAcentral